AUGAAGCCCGCUGUGCGGGUGCAACACUCAAUGCUUGCGUUUGCGGCCGAUGCUGUUGUCGUUGUUUAAUUUU
RNAcentral lists this unclassified non-coding RNA (73 nucleotides) under soil metagenome. RNAcentral's name for it is "partial internal transcribed spacer 1". The record is from RNAcentral.